UACGGGGGGAGCAAGCGUUGUUCGGAUUUACUGGGCGUAAAGGGUGCGUAGGAGGUUGGCAAAGUCGGGUGUGAAAUCUCACCGCUUAACGGUGAAAUUGCGCUCGAUACUGGUUGACUAGAGUAUCGGAGGGGAAAGCGGAAUUCCUGGUGUAGCGGUGAAAUGCGUAGAUAUCAGGAGGAACACCAACGGCGAAGGCAGCUUUCUGGACGAUAACUGACUCUGAGGCACGAAGGCCAGGGGAGCGAACGGG
RNAcentral lists this ribosomal RNA (253 nucleotides) under uncultured bacterium. RNAcentral describes it as "partial 16S ribosomal RNA". It matches the Rfam family "Bacterial small subunit ribosomal RNA", at positions 524 to 776 of the family's 1533-position model. The record is from RNAcentral.